Molecule: ribosomal RNA, 253 nt
Filed under: uncultured bacterium
Lineage: Bacteria
Description: partial 16S ribosomal RNA
Rfam family: Bacterial small subunit ribosomal RNA
Source: RNAcentral
UACGGAGGGUGCAAGCGUUAUCCGGAUUCACUGGGUUUAAAGGGUGCGUAGGUGGGCAAGUAAGUCAGUGGUGAAAUCUCCGUGCUUAACAUGGAAACUGCCAUUGAUACUAUAGGUCUUGAAUCUUCUGGAGGUUAGCGGAAUAUGUCAUGUAGCGGUGAAAUGCUUAGAUAUGACAUAGAACACCAAUUGCGAAGGCAGCUAGCUACAGGGGUAUUGACACUGAGGCACGAAAGCGUGGGGAUCAAACAGG